GUAGCUCCAAUUGGCAGAGCAGCGGAUUCCAAAUCCGCGUGUUGGGAGUUCGAAUCUCUCCACCCCUGCCA
This 71-nucleotide transfer RNA is filed under the name Vibrio vulnificus. RNAcentral describes it as "tRNA-Trp". It matches the Rfam family "tRNA". Rfam says of the family: Transfer RNA (tRNA) molecules are approximately 80 nucleotides in length. Their secondary structure includes four short double-helical elements and three loops (D, anti-codon, and T loops). RNAcentral also lists the same sequence under 1 other name. Lineage: Bacteria; Pseudomonadati; Pseudomonadota; Gammaproteobacteria; Vibrionales; Vibrionaceae. The record is from RNAcentral.